ACUGUGAAGCAUCCUGUUAAGUCAGGCAACGAGCGAGACCCACGCCAACAGUUUGCCAGCUCGUCCUCCGGGAUGGUGGGGACACUGUUGGGACCGCUCUGCUAAAGAGGAGGAAGGAAUGGGCAACGGUAGGUCAGCAUGCCCCGAAUUAUCUGGGCUACACGCGGGCUACAAUGGGUGGGACAAUGGGUAUCGACACCGAAAGGUGAAGGCAAUCUCCUAAACCCAUCCGUAGUUCGGAUUGUGGGCUGCAACUCGCCCACAUGAAGCUGGAAUCUGUAGUAAUCGUGUCUCAAAAUGGCACGGUGAAUAUGUCCCUGCUCCUU
This 326-nucleotide ribosomal RNA is filed under the name uncultured Methanomicrobiales archaeon. RNAcentral describes it as "bacterial SSU rRNA". It matches the Rfam family "Archaeal small subunit ribosomal RNA", at positions 1013 to 1338 of the family's 1478-position model. The record is from RNAcentral. Lineage: Archaea; Methanobacteriati; Methanobacteriota; Methanomicrobia; Methanomicrobiales.